RNAcentral lists this long non-coding RNA (4023 nucleotides) under Nothobranchius furzeri (turquoise killifish). Its description in RNAcentral is "lncRNA (ENSNFUG00015023997.1)". Lineage: Eukaryota; Metazoa; Chordata; Actinopteri; Cyprinodontiformes; Nothobranchiidae. The record is from RNAcentral.
AUGAGCCGGCGAGUGAUGGAAUCCGGAAGCAGGUGGGCAAGAUUGGCAUUUGACGGAGAUGAGCAGAAAUACGAGUUGUGGGAAACCAAAUUCCUAGGCCACUUACGAUUGCAAGGACUAAAAGACACUAUAUUGAGCACCGAUGAAGGUGAAGCUGAUUCCGAUGAUGAGAAUAAGAACGCGGAAGCGUACGCAGAAUUGAUCCAAUUCCUGGACGACAAGAGCCUGUCUCUCGUGAUGAGAGACGCAGCUGACGAUGGCCGCGCAGCACUACGGAUAUUGAGGGACCACUACGCUGGCAAAGGUAAACCCAGGAUCAUCGGUCUUUAUACUGACUUAACUUCCCUUCAGAAGACGCAUGAUGAAAGUGUAACGGAAUAUAUCCUACGAGCGGAGACUACAAUUACUGCUUUAAGAAACGCAGGAGAGACACUAAGUGAUGGGCUGCUGGUAGCUAUGAUUUUAAAAGGAUUACCAGAGACAUAUAAGCCAUUCUCUGUGCAUAUAAUGCAAAGUGACUCGGAUGUUAAGUUUGCUGACUUCAAGAGCAAGCUACGUAGUUUUGAGGAUACAGAGAAAAUGCGCAAGGAAGAACAUGACAACGUCAUGAAGGCGAGACCAAAUUACAAUGAGUCUCGACACACGGCAGCAGCUGUUGCAAAUCGAAGAGGAGACACAGUGACCGGAGUGACCUGUUUUAAGUGUGGCCGACAAGGACAUAAGGCCAGAACGUGUCGUCAGAAGCAGUGGUGCAGCCGAUGCAGGAGCAACACUCACCGAGACGCGACGUGCCGGAGGAAUCAACGAGGUGAUGAGGUACGCAUAGCUCGUGAGGAUGACGACGACAGGACCCAAGACAACACUUAUGCUUUCAAGCUAAAGACAGACAACGCGAAUCCUGGAAUUGGGAAGGAGAUUGAGAUUAAAGGUUUGAUGGUGGAUACUGGUGCUACGUCACACAUCAUCACAGACAUCAGUGCUUUUAAGAAGUUUGACAACAAUUUCCAUGGUGGGACACACUGUGUGGAGCUGGCUGAUGGCAGCAGAUGUAAAGGAGUUGCUGAAGGUAGAGGAGACGCUGUGGUGUACCUGAUCGACAGCAGAGGGCAACAAUGUCAAGUAACAUUGAAAGAGGCAUUGUACAUCCCAUCUUUCCCGCAGAACAUCUUUUCUGUGAGAGCUGCAACAGAAAAUGGAGCAACCAUCGUCUUCAAAACAGGUAGAAACAGAAUAAAACACAAAGACGGUACUGAGUUUAACAUAUAUGAGCACAACAGACUGUAUUACAUUGAAACUGUUACUGAAUACACUGAUAAAUGUGCUAAGUGCUUGGACAUACAAACGUGGCAUGAAAUUCUAGGUCACUGCAAUCAUGAUGAUUUACAAAAGCUGGAGAAUGUAGUUGAUGGCAUGAAAAUCAAAGGCAAACUGGGAAAAGAAGUAAAGUGUGAAGUAUGUAUCCAAGGUAAAUUUGUUCAAUACAGAAAUAGAAAACCAGACAGAAGGGCUAAGAAACCUCUUGAACUAGUGCACACAGAUCUGGCCGGUCCAAUAAGUCCAGCAUCUAAGGAUGGUCAUAAAUAUGCACUAUCAUUUGUGGAUGAUUACUCAAGUGCUAUUUUUGUGUAUUUUCUGAGAAACAAAAGUGAUACGGUGCAAGCAACCGAGAAGUUCCUAGCGGACACAGCCUCAUAUGGUGAUGUUAAAUGCAUUAGGUCUGAUAAUGGGACAGAGUUUAUGUGCAGAAGGUACCAAGAUUUACUGAGUAAACAUAAGAUCAGACAUGAAACUUCAGCGCCAUAUUCCCCCCAUCAAAAUGGUACUGUAGAGCGGAAUUGGCGCACCCUUUUUGAUAUGGGGAGGUGUAUGCUCAUUGAGAGCGGUUUACCCAAGUACUUAUGGACAUAUGCAGUCCAGACCGCAGCUGUGAUCAGGAACAGAUGUUUCAGUCGUCGUACUGAACAAACACCCUACUUCUUACUAACAGGAUGCAAACCCAACAUUUCUACUAUGCAAAAGUUUGGUUGUGCAUGUUUUGCUUACAGGCAAAACAAAACAAAGCUGGACUCAAGAUGUACUGAAGGAAUAUUCAUUGGCUAUGACAAAUACAGUCCUGCAUAUCUCAUUUACUUUACUUUGAACAAGAGUGUGCAGAAGGUUAGACUGGUAAAGUUUGUAAGCAAAAAUGUUGAAGAGAGGCAGACACAAACAGUUCUUAUCCAUGAGGAGGAUGACAUACCAACUGUCUCACGACCUCGAGUGGUGAAAACAUCAUCCUCUCACAAGGAUGAAUCUGAUGGUGAAACUUCUGAGGAAAAAUGGAAACAAAAUCCAGACACAAACCAGGCAGCAGGAACAAACAGAAGGUAUCCAGAAAGGACGAGAAAGAAACCAGAAUAUUUAAAAGACUAUGUAUCAAAAGGGGAGGAUAAUGAUGAUCAAGGAUCAUAUAUCGACUACUGUUACAGAGCAACAUGUGGUAUGCCCAUUACAUACAACGAUGCUAUAGAGUCCCCAAAUUCUGAUAAAUGGAAGGCAGCAAUGGAUGAAGAGAUGCAUUCUUUAUUAGAGAAUGACACCUAUACCCUGACGGACUUACCAAAGGGCAAGAAAGCAGUGGGGGGUAGGUGGGUAUAUGUUCUGAAGAAAAAUGAUGACGGAUCAGAAAGAUACAAGGCUAGGUAUGUAGCAAAAGGUUACGGUCAAAGAGCUGGACUAGAUUAUGAUGAAACAUUUUCCCCAACAGCUAGUCUAACAAGCGUGAGGGUACUGAUGCAGUGUGCUGUACAGGAGAACCUCAUUUUACACCAGAUGGAUGUCAAGACAGCUUAUCUUCAUUCACCAAUAGAUUGCGACAUAUAUAUAGAACAACCAAAAGGAUAUGAAGUUAAAAGCAACCCGGAUGAACAUUUAGUGUUUAAACUGAAGAAGUCUCUGUACGGAUUAAAACAAUCUGGCAGGAACUGGAAUAAAACUUUACAUGACUACUUGAUAACUAAAGGAUUCAGUCAAAAUCCUGCAGACCAUUGUGUAUAUACCAGGACAACAGAGAGCGACAAAGCCAUAAUACUCAUUUGGGUUGAUGACAUUAUUUUAGCCGCCAGUGAUGCACGUGUUCUGCAAACAGUAAAGUCAAUGCUGGCAAAGAGAUUCAGAAUGAAGGACAUGGGAUCACUAAAACAUUUUAUCGGUAUAGAGUUUGAACAGAAAGAGAACUGUAUUCAGAUGACUCAACAGAAGUAUGCUGAACAGAUAUUAGAAAGGUUCAAUAUGCAUGACUGUAGAACAAGAGCAACACCAUGUGAACAGAAGAGAAACUAUAACGAUGGUGCAAAGAAACUCAUAGAUGUACGACUGUAUAGAGAAGCAGUAGGUAGUCUUCUUUAUUUGACAUCAUGUACAAGACCAGACCUCAGCUUUAUUGUAAGCAAGUUAUCACAGUAUAUCAAAGACCCGACUGAAGAAUAUUGGAUUACUGUGACUCAUGUACUAAGGUAUCUUAAAGGUACAACAGGAAAAACUCUGACUUGCAGACCAAACGAGACAAAACUAAGAGUACAGGCUUACAGUGAUGCAGACUGGGCUGGUGAUGUAAUGGAUAGACGAAGCACAUCAGGUUACUGCAUUAAACUUAAUGAUGAAAGUGCAUUGAUAUCAUGGAAAACAAAGAAACAACCAACUGUAGCUUUAUCAAGUUGUGAAGCAGAAUACAUUGCAUUAGCAACAACUAUACAGGAAUGUUUGUACCUUUCAUAUUUGUUGCCAAGUAUGUAUGCACAGGACAUGAUGACACCCUUAAUCCUAGAGGACAACCAGGGUACCAUUGCUUUAGCAAAGAACCCCGUCAGCAGGCAGAGAUGCAAACACAUAGAUAUAAAAUACCAUUUUAUAAGAUCAUGUGUGAACGAUGGGAAAGUGAUGUUACAAUAUUGCCAAACUGAUCAGAUGGUAGCAGACGGAAUGACAAAACCAGCAACAAAAACUGCAUUGAAGAAAUAUGAAAACAUAAUGUUUGGAAAAUAA